Molecule: ribosomal RNA, 465 nt
Filed under: uncultured Caryophanales bacterium
Lineage: Bacteria; Bacillati; Bacillota; Bacilli; Caryophanales
Description: bacterial SSU rRNA
Rfam family: Bacterial small subunit ribosomal RNA
Source: RNAcentral
CCUACGGGAGGCAGCAGUAGGGAAUCUUCCGCAAUGGGCGAAAGCCUGACGGAGCAACGCCGCGUGAGUGAAGAAGGAUUUCGGUUCGUAAAGCUCUGUUGUUAGGGAAGAAUGGAUAUGUAGUAACUAUACAUAUAAGAGACGGUACCUAACCAGAAAGCCACGGCUAACUACGUGCCAGCAGCCGCGGUAAUACGUAGGUGGCAAGCGUUGUCCGGAAUUAUUGGGCGUAAAGCGCGCGCAGGUGGUUUAAUAAGUCUGAUGUGAAAGCCCACGGCUCAACCGUGGAGGGUCAUUGGAAACUGUUAAACUUGAGUGCAGGAGAGAAAAGUGGAAUUCCUAGUGUAGCGGUGAAAUGCGUAGAGAUUAGGAGGAACACCAGUGGCGAAGGCGGCUUUUUGGCCUGUAACUGACACUGAGGCGCGAAAGCGUGGGGAGCAAACAGGAUUAGAUACCCCAGUAGUC